Molecule: long non-coding RNA, 796 nt
Organism: Alosa sapidissima (American shad)
Lineage: Eukaryota; Metazoa; Chordata; Actinopteri; Clupeiformes; Clupeidae
Exons: 3
Source: RefSeq, a predicted model, not a curated record
CGUCGAGCUACGGCAGAGGGGUCGGAGAGGGGUUCGCGGCGACGCAGAGGGGUCUCCGGAGUCAACAGGGAAUAUCAAUCCAGUUUGUAUGGGUUCCUGCUCAUAAAGGAGUUGGUGUUGAGGAGGCAGACAAGCUGGCAAAAGAGGCAACCAAAGAAGAGGAGGUGCAUUCCACUCAGCAGAUCAGAAGUUAAGUCCAAUAGAUGGCGGACAUACACUUUGCCUGUAAACUGCCAUAAAACCUGACAGAAGAAGAAGAAUCAGGAAACAGAAUAUGUAUGUAUGGUAUAUUAUACAAAGCAUUAAUCAGAUCCACCAUAGACUAUAGAUGCAUAGUGUAUAGUUCUGCUAACAUCUCUCAGAAAACUAGAUAGAAUUCAGUUUAAAGGUUUAAGGAUUGCUUUAGGAGCGAUUAAAACAACUCCUACCUCUAUUAGUAGAAGCUGAAGAAACCCCACUUAAAUUAAGAUUUGAUCAACUGUCCUUAACAUACUGGGUGAGACUAAAAGGGAGCAUAAAUAAUCUGCCUUAUCAGUCCUAAAUUAAUGUUGGGAAUACCAUUCAAAGAGAUCUGGUUUUGGUGGCAUAUUAAAAACGCAGGGGAAAUAUAUGGAAUUAGAGAUUUGCACACUCCUGUACAGUAGGUAGCGGUAUGCACCAAAGAGUUGUAAUCAGCCAAUAAAUCAAAGAAGAAGAAGAAGAAUCAGGAAACAGGGAUUCGGUGGGGAACCAAACCAGAGAAUGUCUAAUAAGGGGAGAACUGCCACUCUCGGAAGACUUCCGGUUUCUGAACUGG